RNAcentral lists this ribosomal RNA (477 nucleotides) under uncultured bacterium. RNAcentral's name for it is "bacterial SSU rRNA". It matches the Rfam family "Bacterial small subunit ribosomal RNA", at positions 30 to 507 of the family's 1533-position model. The record is from RNAcentral.
AUUGAACGCUGGCGGAAUGCUUUACACAUGCAAGUCGAACGGUAGAGGGGGCAACCCCUUGAGAGUGGCGAACGGGUGAGUAAUAUAUCGGAACGUGCCCAGUCGUGGGGGAUAACGUAGCGAAAGUUACGCUAAUACCGCAUACGAUCUAAGGAUGAAAGCGGGGGACCGUAAGGCCUCGCGCGAUUGGAGCGGCCGAUAUCAGAUUAGGUAGUUGGUGGGGUAAAGGCUCACCAAGCCAACGAUCUGUAGCUGGUCUGAGAGGACGACCAGCCACACUGGAACUGAGACACGGUCCAGACUCCUACGGGAGGCAGCAGUGGGGAAUUUUGGACAAUGGACGCAAGUCUGAUCCAGCCAUUCCGCGUGCAGGAUGAAGGCCUCGGGUUGUAACUGCUUUGUACGGAACGAAAAGGUUUCUAUUAAUACUAGGAGCUCAUGACGGUACCGUAAGAAUAAGCACCGGCUAACUACGUG